GUAAAAACACAAAAGGACCAAAGAUUCAUUGCUUUUUUAUUUCAUUCAAAACAAUUCAAUCACUUCUAAGACAGUGACAACUGGCAUCAAAGCAGCAGAGAUAUAAUUAAUUGCACAGGUGUGUCUUUGAAAAUGAUCUUCCUGUGUAAGCUUUUGUCUAACCUUUUCUUAUGUCCUCUCACAGAGACACAUCAUCCGUUCAACAAUGGAGAUUUGUGUGGAGGCACAUUCUUGCUAUUUUUGCUAAUACAUCUGCAAAUCCACCUGAGUGAAGUGAAGGCUGCUUGACUUUUUACAUUUGCACACAUAACAUGGGGCUUUCUUUUGACAGCAAAGCCAUCAGUCGGCUCUAAAGAGACUAAAAGCAGUAAAUCGCGGUCACAGUUCUAUGACAGACAAGAGGAGUGUGUCCCCCUCUAGUGAUGAUGUAACGACGCUGCACCUCAAAACUUGAAAUCGGAUCUACAGGGUCAGUGUUCCAGGAGUUGACACAGAGCCAGUAGGAAACACCAUCCUCCUCUCCCCAGCCCAGGAUCUUGAUGACAUGUCUACCCACAGCAGAGCCUGAAACGUGUUGAUACACACCUGGAGACAGGAAGAGGACACAGGAAACACAAGUGGGAACCACGAGGUCCCAAGCAACACUCUACACAAUCACUGAGCAGAAUAUGCAGUUAGGGUUCACCCUGUACUCAAUAUUCAGUGUAAUGCGUGUUUGCAUUACAUCUCUUACUGGUGCAUGUGUUCUUGCCAGACUUGCACAAUACAAAGUCUUCAUAGACUUUAAAUGCUCCCUCUACUGGGUUGUUCUUGUAUAUCUCAGUCUGAAUCUGGAUCACAUUUGAUAAUGUGAUAAUGCCCGAGGGCCAACCAUCCUGUCUCACAUUCUUUGAACCAUUAAACCUGUCAAAGAUCAUAGAGGUAUGAGAUCCCCGAGUCAGCCAUAGGUGUGGGGUUCUGGCAGAAUAACAGCAAAAUAAGGGAACACAGUAUGAUAUUAUAACCUGUGAUUUAUGAUUGAUUCAUGCUAUAACAUAAUAAAUGUGUUUAAACUAACCAAAUGCCUAUUUUUUAUAUAUACAAUCUUUAUUUGAAACAGCGUAGAAAUCAGAAGAGUCCCUCAAUGUGAAAGGUGGUGAGUUGAUUAUUUUUUGAAC
Long non-coding RNA from Amphiprion ocellaris (clown anemonefish), 1157 nucleotides. The record is from Ensembl. NCBI's taxonomy places the organism in Eukaryota, Metazoa, Chordata, Actinopteri, Pomacentridae.